This 376-nucleotide ribosomal RNA is filed under the name uncultured bacterium. Its description in RNAcentral is "bacterial SSU rRNA". It matches the Rfam family "Bacterial small subunit ribosomal RNA", at positions 796 to 1165 of the family's 1533-position model. The record is from RNAcentral.
CACGCCCUAAACGAUGCAGACUAGGUUGUGGGAGUUCUGACACUCUCGCGGCCGAAGCAAAAGUGCUAAGUCUGCCGCCUGGGGAGUACGGUCGCAAGGCUAAAACUCAAAUGAAUUGACGGGGGCUCACACAAGCGGUGGAGCAUGUGGAUUAAUUCGAAGCAACGCGCAGAACCUUACCUAGGUUUGACAUGUACGGAUGCUGCCCUGGAAACAGGACCAGUUGCCGCAAGGUGAAACGUACACAGGUGCUGCAUGGCUGUCGUCAGCUCGUGUCGUGAGAUGUCGGGUUAAGUCCUUUAACGAGCGAAACCCCUGUCGUUAGUUACCAUCGGGUCAUGCCGGGAACUCUAACGGGACUGCCGGUGUUAAACCG